UUGCUUUUUCAUACGCUGCUACCAAGUUGCUGUUAGAAAAAAAUACAAGGCAAUACAAAGUCAUUCAAAAAAGCUGGCUAAAAAAAAAAAAAACAAAAAAAAAAACCAAAAAAACCAACAACAACAAAAACCCACACCCAACCAUAAGCAAAACACGUUCUUCAGGGCCCUCAAAAAUCUGGUCCCUCUUCCUGGAAUUUACUGGAGCUUUAAAACUCAUUUGAUCUACAGCUCAUUGAUCCAAACAUGGAUCAGUGCUAAGCAGUGCUAACCUCUGUACAUUCUUUGGGCAAGUACACAUCUUUACCAGUAAACUAGCUACUCAAAAAUAUUUCAGUAUGGUUCAAUAUAAAGACUUGGUAUACUAAAUAUGAGACUUUGUAUGCUGUACUAAAAGAUUACACAUGUAAUGCUUUAUUAUUCUCUUGUGGCCAGAGUCUGAUUACAAAAAUCCAGCACUGAGUAAACAGCUGCAUUUAAAAAUUAACAUGAGAGUAUGACAUCUUGUGCUAACUUGUCAGCUACUAAAUAUCUUCUGUAUAUCUCCUAUGUAUCUAUAAAUACCUUUGACAUAUCCACCUGGUUCAGCAGGAGAGCUUGAGGCAGGUGCUUCCUCACCACAAGGGCUUUCUCUCCUUAGUGUAACUUAUUAAUAACUUAUUAAUGAAAAUUACACUGUCAGUAUAAUUACACUCUUUGCAGGAAAGGCAGCUACAACCCAUAUUCUCAGUUGACCCGCACAUACAUACUGAGCAACAAAUUUUAAGUGUGAUUACUGAAGCUGGUUUGCUAAAGAGGCUGGAGCCAGAGAAAAAGGAGCAAAUUUAAACAAAGUAACAGAAUUGGAAGAAUUGGAUUAAAUGGAGGGACUUCGGUUUUUCUUUAAGUAAUAUUGCAUUUUCUAGUAACUUGGUUAAGACUAACCUGUUCCCUCCACUCUUGUUUUUAGCUAUGUAGUUUUCAGCAUCCUAGCUGGGAGGUUUUACCCUCCUCCAUGUCUAACCUUCAGGAUUCAACUUGUGUGAACACAAGGAUCCAGAAAUGGUCGUGAUGACAUGUGUGGCUAAGUCAGUAACCUGGACUUUGUUUAAAUAACAAGGCCACCACAUGGGCUGCAGGAGUCAUGUAGGAGUGAGCACUCUUCACACACCACAGCAUAAGGGCACGGCCCCCACAGUGCUUACAGGGCAGCUGCCAGGCUACUGCUGGGAAGUGACGUGCCUGCAGGCACCACACUGCUCCAGUGCAGUGCUGAGAGAGAAUACUGAAGCCAGGGCAGAAUGUGAAGCCUGACAGCUGGGUGCAACCUCAUCCCAAACUGAAACAAAUACUCCCUUGUACAGAGGAAGACAAUCACUUCUCCACACUGAAGUUACCCUGUCAGCCCACCAAGAAAUUUUCUCUAGGAGAGCUGGACACGAGCUUAUAACCCUACGUGUUGCGAAAGUCUCCUGGAGGCCACACAGAAGCUGUUUGCCUGCUCACUGCCUGCAGUGCCUGGGCUGGCCCAGCCGCGGCAACAUCCUACAGCCAGACACAGCCAGACACUGCAGCACGUGGCACAUCUCGCCGUGUCCGUCUGCCUCAGCAACAGAACAGCCUUGACAAUGUACAGGGAAAUACUCUAACACGCUACAGAUGCUAAUGUACUGGCCAGGAUGAAGAGAGGUCUUGUGAUGAAGAACUGUCAAUAUUCCUUACACGUCCUUUCACUGAAGUAAUGCACUCUAUUUUCAAUUUCCUCAAUCUUUUUCCUUAGGAGUUAAAAGCUCACCUCCUCGCACUUCAAAUAUAAAUUUUAUUCCUUUACAUUCCAUUUCAGCUGAUGGAAUGCCUCAGCACAGUGUACCCUUGAAAUUUUUUUUCUGCGAAGAAAACAGGAACUAAACCAGUUUUUACAUGCAGUUGAAGACAAAUAAGAAAAGACCCACCCCAUCACCCUUCAGGCACAUUAGACAAUGUGUGCAGCACUGCUAUGAGAGCCACAUCAUGUGGGACUGCGUGUGGUGUGAAUUAGGUGUCUGUCAGCUCCAAAGGACUCAGACAGGGGCUAUGGAGAAGGCUCAGUAGCACAGUGUCCUGGACUGUGGCUGGGCAUGGAAAAACAUCUGCAGUAUUUGGGGAGAGGAAAAACUAAAAUUCCUAUCUGUCUGGUCAAUGCAACAUUACAUGGGAGAAAAGGAAUAGCUGUGAAAACACGAUGUACAGUCCCAAGGGAAAGAACCCUGCAGAGCCACAGCACAUGGCAGCUGAGAUCCCUGACACACCGGGGGUAACAAAAAACACAUGGAAAGAAAUGCAGUGGGGAAGGCUUGGAGGAACUUCCCACGCACAGUGAAGUUUGGCUGCUAAGGAAGCCGCUUUCCCCUGGCAUUCAGAGAACUGAUCCUUCUGCCCAUGGCAUGGAGUGCACCCAGCUAACUCCCCUCCGGUGAAAGCAUAAGCUAUAGCUCCUUUGCAUUGGGGUCAAGAGCACCUACAAAAUCUGAAGUGAGAAAGGAACAACAAGCUCUCUCCAGAUCAGGAGUAGGUAAAGUUGUGCUUUGAGUUCUGCCAUCUCCUCCUGUUGAAGAAACAUCAGAAUGCUGUUUCAUGGGACUACAUAUCAAAAAGAAGAUGAAAUCAAACAAAGCAUUCAUUCCUAUUACUUGAGUGCUCUUUCCAUGAAGAACAACAACAACAAGCCAGAAGGCUUUUUAUGAUGGCACACUGUCUUCGUCAGGAAGGCCACUAUGUGUUAGAAAAUGCUAGUGAAUUAUUGCACAGUUUAACAGAACAGCUUCUUCAGAGCAUGGACCUGAAGUACACGUGGUAUGCAAAAAAGGAAACAACGAAGGAUGAGGUGGCCAGCAGUGAUUCUUUCAGUCGACUGAAGAAGACUUUUGUAACCCAUGUAACCUCACAACCUUGAAAUGCCAAAUCUACUGAUCAUUUCAGGAUUAAUUUUAUCAAAUGCUGAGUACUUGAAGUCAUACUGAAUCACACAAAUACCGAGUACUUGCACUCAUACUCCAAUUCUGAAUUUGUGUGAAAAUUAGAAUGAAAAUGAAAGACUUUUCAUUUUAUAUAAUCAGAACCACCACAACAUUCUCAAAAUUAGAAUUGUGCUGGAUGUGGUUAUAUCAGAAGAAUAAAACAGCAAGGAAGUUCCACAUGAAAAAGGACUCCAAGAGGAUCACUAUAUACAAGGUGCAAUCUUUCAUAAGCAAAACAAAUAUCACAGUUGAUAAAAGCAGAGUUCUGGUUUAAGUGAUUUUACUACACACAUGUACUAGCGCACUAAAUGCUUAAUAAAGAUGAACAAAAGGAUUUUUAACAUUCUCAGCAAAGAGCAGAUUACAGCAGUUUCACAAAAGAGGGAGAACUAUCAGUGUAGGAAGCUUAGACUUCUUAUCUAGGUUACAUGUCCUUUGGAAUGCAGAAAGACAGCAAACCAAGAAUUAUUUACAUCCAUCAGAAGUAAUCUCCUUGCUAACUGGGGCAUAACAACUGACCUCAAAGCGAGACCCACUGAAUGAUGACAAACUGCAGACAAGAAUGUAUUUAGAAACAUGGUUAAUUACUGCUUGAAGCAAAGAUCUGUAUUUUACAGAAGCCCUGGUGGACCAGAAGGUCUUAUAUUCUGGAUGAGUGAAAAAUAAAACAGGGCGACAGAAGAACCAGACAAAAUGUCAGGCUUCCUGAACACCACCUCCAGCCUGUCUUUUUAUGGAUCAACUUAAUCAGUAAUAAAGAAAAAAAGGUGUAAAGGCACCUUCAGAACACCAUUAGCAUAAUACACAGAUGUAAGAAGCAAUGUAACCGAUGUGGUUAUCAUUUCUUCUGGGAGUCAGAAAUGAAAGGUGUCAAAAGGUGUACAAGAAAUGCUAACCAAUACAAGUUUCAGGAAGAAGGCAGCAGGUCACAAGACCCAGCAAUGUAGAAAAUACCUGAGUAGCUCAAUCAAGCUGUACCUAUCCUUGCUAAGAAUGCUGAAGGGAAGGAAUUUACUAAGAGAUGCUACAUAAAGAAGUCCUCUGCAGCCUGAGUCCAUCUGCUUCAAGUUAAAGAAGAAAACAGAUCUAUAUACUGUUCUGAUUAAGCUCCAUAUUUCAAAUACAUACAAGUAAUACACUCUGAAAGCCAAGAAAUUCACAGGCUUAGCUACGCUACAGUUUGCUAAACAGAUGAAGAAGGUGUAAUGCAACAGCCAUGAAUGCUAAUAAGGUAAUACAUUCUCCUGGGACCAAAGUAUGCACAGUAUAGCUCUGCCUUUGGGCCUUUUGUAAUGUUUUACCCAAAGAAGAAAUGUAAGUGUUUUCAAUUUCUGUCCUAUGAGAUGCCAUCUACCAUCAAAUCCUUUUCAAGUUUUGACAGCCUUGAGUUUUUUCACCACAUUCUUUUCAGAAACUUAAAGAAAUUUUCUGCAAUUGUGAAUUCCAGUAAAUGAUAACCAAUGAACACUACUGUAAUUUGUUCUCUGUCAGAAAGGAUUGAAGAUGAUUACAGCUACAUGUGUAAAACAUGUGCCUGUUUCAGUACGAACUGCACAGGAACUAAAGAAGAAAGGUGACUUCUGGGGAGAUUUCCUGCAUUGAAAAUGCAAGGUACUACAUGCAGCACCAAGUUAUGGGUGGACAAGGUAUGCAAAAAGCAAGUUAGAUGAUUGUUUAGAGAGAGAGAAUUAAAGAAUUGCUAGCACUCAAAACUGUGCCAGAAAUUAUAUGUAACUGUGGAUGUCCCUGCCAAGACAAGGAAUGCAUAGGCAGCAAUCACAAGGGACAGCUCUGCAGUUUGCCCUUACCCAUCAGUUUAAAGACAGAGGUAACAAUGGUGUAUAUGAUACUUCAGAGAAGAUCUGCAAGCAAGAGAGGAGAAAGCAGUGUAAUGUACGAAACAUACAUUCAAUAAUCUACAAAUGUCUUCCAGUAUAUCUCACAUAUUUUCAUUGCAAGGAAUAUACUGCUGUUGGCCAUAAUAUAUUCAAACAGUUGACAUAACUUUUAAAACUUCUGACUGGCAGCAGGUAUUAUUUUUUCUUGACAACAAACAUUGCAUGUAUUAUUGCAAAAUUAUAUUGUCAUUAGAUGGAAAGGCAGCAUCCCUAAGAAUAUAAAAUAUCAUCACUAAGCUAGAAGUUAAGACAGCAUCACCAGAUCUGAACAAAAAUCUACAGCUUUAAAAUCUUACAGAACUGUUAGGAUUUAGGUUUUGCUGCCCCGAUAUUGUAAAGUGCCAUACUUGCCAGUAUUUGACUAAAAUAUGACUUGCCAACAACCAGAAACUACACUUAUGGAACCGACACCAGACAAUUUCUAAAUGCAGACACGCUGUUAUGUUACCUUUACUAUGUUCCUUUAAUACAUACCUUACAGCAUUUGUAGGGAGCUUAUUAAAAAGAUGGGGAUCGACUUUUCACAUGAUCUGAUAGUGAUAGCACAAAGAGAGGAGAUUGAGAUUAGAUGUUAGGAGGAAAUUCUUUACUCAGAGGGUGGUGAGGCACUGCCCAGGGAAAGUGUGGAUGUCCCAUCCUUGGAGUUGUUCAAGGCCAGGCUGGAUGGGGCCCUGGGUGCAACCACCUACUGAGUGGCAUGGGGUGGAACUGGAUGGGCUUUAAGGUCCCUUCCAACCCAAGUCAUUCUGUGAUUCUAUAAUUAUGUUUUAGUUCACCUCUACCAAUUUACAAAGUCAAUACAGAAGCCAGGCUUAAAAUUUUAUAAGCUGUACACCCAGUGAAAAAAAGCCAGUUUGUCUAGAUCCCAUCUUUAGAACCGGACACAUAAAAUAGGCCUGACAUACGAGUUCUCCUAAAAUCUCUGUUCUACUGUUUGUCACUACAACACCCACUCUUUGCUCUAGCUCUAACACAAAUUACAAAUUUCAACACACUGUCUAGAACAGCUCCGGAAUUGUCACUGCUGAGAUCACCAUGGAUGACAGCUUCUUACACACCAUUCUUCCUCUCACAGCAGUACUAAAAGGAGGUGAAUUUGUUUUGCUCGAGUUCACAAACAUUCAAGAUGAGCUUCUGCACGGUUGUAAGUAGUGAACGCUCUCUUGGGAAGUGCUGUAUCAUGUUUUUUUGGUCACCCUCAAGCAACUCAGCUGCUGUAUCUCUUAGAAAAAGCAUCUUGUUUGUCAAGGAGAGCAUAUCAAGAGUAGAGCCACAGAUGAAGUUUUUGCCUAAUUCAAAACACACACAGCUUGUCAUUGCUAAUGCACUGCCUUCUGUCACUAUUUUACUACUGGAUUUUUGGCUUUGAUUAUUCACUUCAACUAAGUAAGCCUUUAUUACCCAGCAAUCACUAUCAAAGCCUCCCAUAUGGAUGACAUUCUUAGUAUGUUCUGUAGCACAAGGGCUUUGUCAGCACUGCAGUUAGUCUGCAUAUAAUUA
Numida meleagris (helmeted guineafowl) is the source of this 6373-nucleotide long non-coding RNA. RefSeq lists it as uncharacterized. The record is from RefSeq and is a predicted model, not a curated record. Lineage: Eukaryota; Metazoa; Chordata; Aves; Galliformes; Numididae. The transcript has 5 exons.